AACAGGCAAACUGAGUAUGGGCAGAUCUAU
Molecule: non-coding RNA, 30 nt
Filed under: Rattus norvegicus (Norway rat)
Lineage: Eukaryota; Metazoa; Chordata; Mammalia; Rodentia; Muridae
Source: RNAcentral